ACAAUUAACGACACAAUCCCAACUUUUAUCGUCUUCCCAAAACUUGAAUUUCUAACAUCGAAUCCAUUUAUCUGUAGAAGACAACAUAUACGAUGUCAAGCAAUGAGAUAUUAGAUCGAGAUCAGCAACCCUGCAGUAAUGGCGUGCUCCUGAGCCUGAUCAUAUCCAUGUCCGACGGCCAGCUCCUGAAUCAGAUUUAUGAAACCCAUCUUCCUCCUAUCCAAGAUUUUGAUCCUACUUCUCUUUUCACUCACAUCAAAGAAGUGCUUUACCUCGCAACCCAUACUGUCAACAAUGCUUUACUGGGUACUCAAGACCUGGACUUGGAGAACCUGGGGGGACAAGAGUUUUGGGAUAUGGAAGAGUACAUAUACAAUCAUCUAUCGUGCACACUCGAGCAAAUUUCCUCUGAGCUCGCAGCCAAGUCUCCCGAUGGGGCAAGCGAACUCAGAAAAACAUCAAUGUCGAUACUUAAGAAAGUCUCAAGCUAUUAUUCAUGGGCAGCAAAGGCAGUGCUGACUCUUGCAGCUUUUGCUUUGGACUAUGGAGAUUUCUGGACCCUUUCACAGUUAGACUCAUUGGACCAACUGGAAAAAGCAGUGGGAAUCGAAAAAGUACUUGUACUUGAUCUGCCCUUAAAGCGCCCGGACCUUCAAAAAUGGGAGAAAGAGAUUGGUGAGGUUAGCAAUCUGAUCAAGGACACGUUGGAAGUAAUCGAAUUCGUUGUUGAGUUGGAAAGGCUAUCUAAGUUGGCAGAUACCCACGGAAAUAUACUUGCAUUGACAACUGCCAAGGAUUGUAUCCCACUACAUGCCUAUUGCGCUAUCAUAACUGUUGUUGCUUGCACGACUCAGAUGUUUUAUCUCAGUAGCGAUAAUAACGACAAGGAACUGGAACUAUCUCCCUUGACUCAGAAAAUGGACCUCAACCUCAACUUACUAAAGAAGAACAUAAAGGAUUGCCAUCAACAAAUAGAGGAAGUGAAGAAAUAUCAGCAAAAAGAGAGAGUUCCGGAAAUACCUAAGAAAAUCCUGGAGGGCUUCAAGGCGAUGAUUUUUGCGGAGGAGAAUUUGUAGCGAGUACUUACCGAUGGUUCUACCAACAAAAUGCUGAGUUUGGACGUGCUGAAAGGGAAGAAUAUUCUAUUAUUCAUUUCGGACAUAGACAUAUCCGUUGAAGAAAUCUCAAUUUUGAAGCCAAUUUAUGAGGGAACAAGGACAGACGACCAAUAUAAAAUUGUAUGGAUCCCAAUGGUGGAGCAAUGGACCGAUGAUACGCAGACCAAAUUUGAGAUGCUACAGUCCAACAUGCCAUGGUACAUUAUGCAGCACUUCUCGAAAGUAGUAGACAUCGGCCAUGACUCCUUCAGUACUACAGAGGGGUGGAACUUAAAAAAUGAGCCUAUCGUCGUGAAUAUAAACCCGCAAGGUGAGGUGGAACACCCAAAUGCUAUCCGCAUGAUUCGGCUAUGGGGAAUGAAUUCCUUCCCAUUCACCAUCACAGCUGCAAAAGCGCUAAUACCUCCAGCUCCCAGCGGGAAGCGUAGAUCUAAACGGAGGGUACACAUCAGACAAACAGGACCGAGCGUGAAUUUCGAUGAGGAGGAAUAUCGUUUUUUCUAUAGAUUCACCAACAUCAAGUGGAAGC
RNA transcript from Juglans microcarpa x Juglans regia, 1647 nucleotides. It is a transcript of the gene named protein SIEVE ELEMENT OCCLUSION B-like, with no coding region annotated. The transcript is spliced from 7 exons. NCBI's taxonomy places the organism in Eukaryota, Viridiplantae, Streptophyta, Magnoliopsida, Fagales, Juglandaceae. The record is from RefSeq and is a predicted model, not a curated record.